Molecule: ribosomal RNA, 491 nt
Filed under: uncultured bacterium
Lineage: Bacteria
Description: partial 16S ribosomal RNA
Rfam family: Bacterial small subunit ribosomal RNA
Source: RNAcentral
GUGAACGCUGGCGGUAGGCCUAACACAUGCCAGUCGAACGGCAGCACAGUAAGAGCUUGCUCUUACGGGUAGCGAGUGGCGGACGGGUGAGGAAUACAUCGGAAUCUACUUUUUCGUGGGGGAUCACGUAGGGAAACUUACGCUAAUACCGCAUACGACCUACGGGUGAAAGCCGGGGAUCUUCGGACCUUGCGCGAUUGCAUGAGCCGAUGUCGGAUUAGCUAGUUGGCGGGGUAAAGGCCCACCAAGGCGACGAUCCGUAGCUGGUCUGAGAGGAUGAUCAGCCACACUGGAACUGAGACACGGUCCAGACUCCUACGGGAGGCAGCAGUGGGGAAUAUUGGACAAUGGGCGCAAGCCUGAUCCAGCCAUACCGCGUGGGUGAAGAAGGCCUUCGGGUUGUAAAGCCCUUUUGUUGGGAAAGAAAAGCAGCAGGUUAAUACCCCGCUGUUCUGACGGUACCCAAAGAAUAAGCACCGGCUAACUUCGUG